Molecule: ribosomal RNA, 433 nt
Filed under: uncultured bacterium
Lineage: Bacteria
Description: partial 16S ribosomal RNA
Rfam family: Bacterial small subunit ribosomal RNA
Source: RNAcentral
GACGAACGCUGGCGGCGUGCCUAAUACAUGCAAGUCGAACGAACGCUUCGGAGCUUGUGGCGCACGAUGGAGUAAGAGGUGGGGAGAUGCACUUAGGUACGGCAUAACUCAGCGAAAGGGAUACUUAUGCCGAAUUAGCUCUUAGGGCGAAAGAUUUAUCGCCCUUCGAGGGGCCCGCGUCAGAUUCGCUAGUUGGUAUGCUAAACGCACACCAAGGCGACGAUCAGUAGCUGGGCUGAGAGGCUGACCAGCCACACUGAGAGUGAGAGACGGCCCAGACUCUUACGGAAGGCAGCAAUGGGGAAUGUUGCACAACGGGCGAAAGCAUGACGGAGUCAGGCCGCGUGAAUGAUGAAGGUCGGAAGAAUGUAAAGUUCAUUUAACAGUGAAGAUAAUGACGGUACCUGAAGAGAAAGCCCCGGCUAACUACGUG